CAAACUGAAGAUGGCGACCGGCGCACGGGUGAGUAACACGAUCCAACCUGCCGAUAACUCCGGAAUAGCCUUUCGAAAGAAAGAUUAAUACCGGAUAGUAUACGAAUAUCGCAUGAUAUUUUUAUUUAAAGAAUUUCGGUUAUCGAUGGGGAUGCGUUCCAUAGUUUGUUGGCGGGGUAACGGCCCACCAAGACUACGAUGGAUAGGGGUUCUGAGAGGAAGGUCCCCCACAUUGGAACUGAGACACGGUCCAA
This 254-nucleotide ribosomal RNA is filed under the name uncultured bacterium. RNAcentral's name for it is "partial 16S ribosomal RNA". It matches the Rfam family "Bacterial small subunit ribosomal RNA", at positions 77 to 334 of the family's 1533-position model. The record is from RNAcentral.